This 464-nucleotide ribosomal RNA is filed under the name uncultured bacterium. Its description in RNAcentral is "partial 16S ribosomal RNA". It matches the Rfam family "Bacterial small subunit ribosomal RNA", at positions 29 to 507 of the family's 1533-position model. The record is from RNAcentral.
ACGAACGCUGGCGGCGUGCUUCACACAUGCAAGUCGAACGGAAAGGCCCUGCUUGCAGGGUCCUCGAGUGGCGAACGGGUGAGUAACACGUGGGUGAUCUGCCCUGCACUUCGGGAUAAGCCUGGGAAACUGGGUCUAAUACCGGAUAGGAGCCAUUUUUAGUGUGAUGGUUGGAAAGUUUUUUCGGUGUAGGAUGAGCUCGCGGCCUAUCAGCUUGUUGGUGGGGUAAUGGCCUACCAAGGCGGCGACGGGUAGCCGGCCUGAGAGGGUGGACGGCCACAUUGGGACUGAGAUACGGCCCAGACUCCUACGGGAGGCAGCAGUGGGGAAUAUUGCACAAUGGGCGCAAGCCUGAUGCAGCGACGCCGCGUGGGGGAUGACGGCCUUCGGGUUGUAAACUCCUUUCGCUAGGGACGAAGCUUUUUGUGACGGUACCUAGAUAAGAAGCACCGGCUAACUACGUG